Molecule: RNase P RNA, 397 nt
Filed under: Aliihoeflea sp. 40Bstr573
Lineage: Bacteria; Pseudomonadati; Pseudomonadota; Alphaproteobacteria; Hyphomicrobiales; Phyllobacteriaceae
Description: RNase P RNA component class A
Rfam family: Bacterial RNase P class A
About the family: Ribonuclease P (RNase P) is a ubiquitous endoribonuclease, found in archaea, bacteria and eukarya as well as chloroplasts and mitochondria.
Source: RNAcentral
UCAGUCGGCCGGGCGGCCGCUUCGCAGGGCCUUGCCUUGCGGGGAGGAAAGUCCGGGCUCCACGGAAAAACGGUGCCGGCUAACUGCCGGCGGGGGCGACCCCAGGGAAAGUGCAACAGAGAGCAGACCGCCGGACCCUUCGGGGUUCGGCAAGGGUGAAAGGGUGGGGUAAGAGCCCACCGCGCUGCCGGCAACGGGAGCGGCAUGGCAAACCCCACCGGGAGCAAAACCGAAUAGGGACGGCGCGAGGGGCAACCCUCAGGGCAUUCCGGCCCGGCCGUCCGGGUUGGUUGCUUGAGGCGCGUCGCAAGACGCGUCCCAGAAGAAUGGCCGCCACGUUUCGGCGCCCUCGGGCGUCGGGGCCAUACAGAACCCGGCUUACAGGCCGACUGACGCU